Molecule: ribosomal RNA, 96 nt
Filed under: uncultured bacterium
Lineage: Bacteria
Description: partial 16S ribosomal RNA
Rfam family: Bacterial small subunit ribosomal RNA
Source: RNAcentral
CACCGCCCGUCACACCAUGGGAGGUUUACUGCACCAGAAGCAGGUAGCCUAACCGCAAGGAUGGCGCCUACCACGGUGUGGUCAAUGACUGGGGUG